UGAGGAAUAUUGGUCAAUGGUCGCAAGACUGAACCAGCCAUGCCGCGUGCAGGAUGAAGCAUCUAUGGUGUGUAAACUGCUUUUGUACGGGAAGAAACACUCCUACGUGUAGGGGCUUGACGGUACCGUAAGAAUAAGGAUCGGCUAACUCCGUGCCAGCAGCCGCGGUAAUACGGAGGAUCCAAGCGUUAUCCGGAAUCAUUGGGUUUAAAGGGUCCGUAGGCGGCUUUAUAAGUCAGUGGUGAAAUCCGGCAGCUUAACUGUCGAAUUGCCAUUGAUACUGUAGGGCUUGAAUUGUUGUGAAGUAACUAGAAUAUGUAGUGUAGCGGUGAAAUGCUUAGAUACUACAUGGAAUACCAAUUGCGAAGGCAGGUUACUAACAAUACAUUGACGCUGAUGGACGAAAGCGUGGGUAGCGAACAGGAUUAGAUACCCUGGUAGUCCACGCUGUAAACGAUGGAUACUAGCUGUUUGGUUGUAAGACUGAGUGGCUAAGCGAAAGUGAUAAGUAUCCCACCUGGGGAGUACGAACGCAAGUUUG
Molecule: ribosomal RNA, 541 nt
Filed under: uncultured bacterium
Lineage: Bacteria
Description: bacterial SSU rRNA
Rfam family: Bacterial small subunit ribosomal RNA
Source: RNAcentral